UAUAACAUAUUAAAUGGAUGUAAUCAACACAGUCAUAGGUAAACUGUGGACAUGUGAAAUCUGAGACAGGCGAAUUUAUUUUCUGCUUAUACUGCUAAAGUGACCCAAGAACUAGAGAAGUUCUUCUUAAGAUUGAACUGAGGUUUUGGAGAAGCACCUGAAGAAAUGAGAAAGGAAAGACGCACGCACACAGUUGCCUGGUUGGCCAACUCCGGGUGUCAGAUGGAGAUACAGGUGUGGCAGAUUGAUCACCAGCAACCUAUGUAGAAUUGCCAGCUAAGUUUAGAUUCUGAAGAUAAUGCAUGGACAUCUCUGAGGAGGCACUCUUCUGCCCAUCACACACUAUGCUGAGGGAAGCCAGAUGGCAAGAUAAACAGAGAUGAGCAAAUUGUGGCCAGAGAGAAGCGUCUUAAGGACUCCCUUCCCCCAAGAGCCCAGAAUAGAAUAAGAAUGUUUAUCACGGAGCAGGCUCUGCCAAAGAUGUUCUAUGGGAGGUGAGUUAUGCUGGAAGCAGAAGCAAAGGUUUGUACUUAAAACAACAGGCAGAAAAUCUUGCGUUGCACACACUAACAGAAGUUUCUUUCUUUAGGCAAAUGCAUAUUUUGAAUCUCUGAGAAAGGAUUAAGUAUGUAUUAUUUCAUAAACUUAACUUUCCAAGGAAUAUUUUUUCCGAGAAACUCCCAUUGGGAAAAACCUGAUUCAGUGAAGUCACCAGGCUCAGACAUUGGCUCGCACCCUGGUAAACCUUUUGCUGGUUGACCAUUGUUUUACUUUUA
This is a long non-coding RNA of Pan troglodytes (chimpanzee), 776 nucleotides long. RefSeq lists it as uncharacterized. NCBI's taxonomy places the organism in Eukaryota, Metazoa, Chordata, Mammalia, Primates, Hominidae. The record is from RefSeq and is a predicted model, not a curated record. The transcript is spliced from 3 exons.